This 488-nucleotide ribosomal RNA is filed under the name uncultured bacterium. RNAcentral describes it as "partial 16S ribosomal RNA". It matches the Rfam family "Bacterial small subunit ribosomal RNA", at positions 28 to 506 of the family's 1533-position model. The record is from RNAcentral.
GAUGAACGCUAGCUACAGGCUUAACACAUGCAAGUCGAGGGGCAGCAUGAACUUAGCUUGCUAAGUUUGAUGGCGACCGGCGCACGGGUGAGUAACACGUAUCCAACCUGCCGAUGACUCGGGGAUAGCCUUUCGAAAGAAAGAUUAAUACCCGAUGGCAUAGUUCUUCCGCAUGGUAGAACUAUUAAAGAAUUUCGGUCAUCGAUGGGGAUGCGUUCCAUUAGGUUGUUGGCGGGGUAACGGCCCACCAAGCCUUCGAUGGAUAGAGGUUCUGAGAGGAAGGUCCCCCACAUUGGAACUGAGACACGGUCCAAACUCCUACGGGAGGCAGCAGUGAGGAAUAUUGGUCAAUGGACGAGAGUCUGAACCAGCCAAGUAGCGUGAAGGAUGACUGCCCUAUGGGUUGUAAACUUCUUUUAUACGGGAAUAAAGUGAGGCACGUGUGCCUUUUUGUAUGUACCGUAUGAAUAAGGAUCGGCUAACUCCGU